Molecule: unclassified non-coding RNA, 287 nt
Filed under: uncultured fungus
Lineage: Eukaryota; Fungi
Description: partial contains 5.8S rRNA and ITS2
Source: RNAcentral
AACGCACAUUGCGGGCGCUGGCUCGUCCACUGCCCAUGUCUGGCUCAGGGUCGGUUUUGCAUCCCUCCCAAGGUUUCUUGGGCACUGGGCUCUCGCCUCUCUUCCGGAGUGGCGUGGCCUCAAGUUUCGAGCGCGUCCAGCUGGUGGGCGGCCACGACUCUUGGGAUUCUCUCCCGGGUCCGGUCUCCCUCCGAAGUGUUGGUCGUGCGCCUGGCGGCCUGCCUCUGGCUGCCGGCCCCCCUUUGCUUUUCGACCUGAGAGCAGGCAAGGUGACCCGCCAAAUUUAA